CGCCGAUGGAGGGGGAUAACUACUGGAAACGGUAGCUAAUACCGCAUAACGUCGCAAGACCAAAGAGGGGACCUUGGGCCUCUUGCCAUCGGAUGUGCCCAGAUGGGAUUAGCUAGUAGGUGGGGUAAAGGCUCACCUAGGCGACGAUCCCUAGCUGGUCUGAGAGGAUGACCAGCCACACUGGAACUGAGACACGGUCCAG
This 202-nucleotide ribosomal RNA is filed under the name uncultured bacterium. Its description in RNAcentral is "partial 16S ribosomal RNA". It matches the Rfam family "Bacterial small subunit ribosomal RNA", at positions 128 to 334 of the family's 1533-position model. The record is from RNAcentral.